This 497-nucleotide ribosomal RNA is filed under the name uncultured bacterium. Its description in RNAcentral is "partial 16S ribosomal RNA". It matches the Rfam family "Bacterial small subunit ribosomal RNA", at positions 28 to 507 of the family's 1533-position model. The record is from RNAcentral.
GAUGAACGCUGGCGGCGUGCCUAAUACAUGCAAGUCGAGCGACCGGACGAGGAGAUUGCUCCUCUGCCGUUAGCGGGUGACGGGUGAGUAACGAGUGGAUCGCCUACCUCUUAUACUGGGGUAACUACGGGAAACCGGAGCUGCUAAUAGCGAAUACAUUGAACGGCAUGGUGCAAUAGUGCUAGGCGGCUUUGCCGUCUGUUAUAGAUGAUUCCGUGCCGGAUUAGCUAGUUGGUAAGGUAACGGCUAACCAAGGCAACGAUGCGUAGCCGACCUGAGAGGGUGAUCGGCCACACUGGAACUGAGACACGGUCCAGACUCCUACGGGAGGCAGCAGUGGGGAAUCUUCCGCAAUGGGCGAAAGCUUGACGCAGCAACGCCGCGUGAGUGAAGAAGGCCUUCGGGUCGUAAAGCCCUUUUAUUAGGGAAGAAAAAAAGUGUAUUAAACUAUGGACGUUUUGACGGUACCUAAACAGAAAGCCACGGCUAACUACGUG